UCCCUGAUAGCUCAGUUGGUAAAGAAUCUGCCUGCAAUGCAGCAGACCCCGGUUCGAUCCCUGGGUUGGGAA
RNAcentral lists this transfer RNA (72 nucleotides) under Bos taurus (domestic cattle). It matches the Rfam family "tRNA". From Rfam's summary of the family: Transfer RNA (tRNA) molecules are approximately 80 nucleotides in length. Their secondary structure includes four short double-helical elements and three loops (D, anti-codon, and T loops). Lineage: Eukaryota; Metazoa; Chordata; Mammalia; Artiodactyla; Bovidae. RNAcentral also lists the same sequence under 2 other names. The record is from Rfam by way of RNAcentral.